This 241-nucleotide unclassified non-coding RNA is filed under the name uncultured fungus. RNAcentral describes it as "partial contains 5.8S ribosomal RNA, internal transcribed spacer 2, and large subunit ribosomal RNA". The stretch from base 1 to 52 matches the Rfam family "5.8S ribosomal RNA", at positions 103 to 154 of the family's 154-position model. Lineage: Eukaryota; Fungi. The record is from RNAcentral.
AACGCACAUUGCGCCCCCUGGUAUUCCGGGGGGCAUGCCUGUCCGAGCGUCAUUACAACCCUCAAGCUCUGCUUGGUGUUGGGCCCCGCCGCCCCGGCGGGCCCCAAAGUCAGUGGCGGUGCCGUCCGGCUCCGAGCGCAGUAGUUACUCUCGCUCUGGAGGCCCGGGUGUGUGCCUGCCAGCAACCCCCAUUUUUUUUCAGGUUGACCUCGGAUCAGGUAGGGAUACCCGCUGAACUUAA